AGCAGCCGCGGUAAUUCCAGCUCCAAUAGCGUAUAUUAAAGUUGUUGCAGUUAAAAAGCUCGUAGUUGAAUUUCAGGCCUGGCUGGACGGUCCGCCCUUCGGGUGGGUACUGUCUGUGGUCGGGUCCUACCUUCUGGCGAAGCGUCAUGGCCUUAACCGGCCGUGGCGGGGAACCAGGACUUUUACUGUGAAAAAAGUUAGAGUGUUCAAAGCAGGCAAUCGCUUGGAUACAUUAGCAUGGAAUAAUGGAAUAGGACGAUGGUUCUAUUUGUUGGUUUCUAGGACCGUUGUAAUGAUUAAUAGGGAUAGUUGGGGGCAUUAGUAUUCAAUUGUCAGAGGUGAAAUUCUUGGAUUUAUUGAAGACUAACUACUGCGAAAGCAUUUGCCAAGGAUGUUUUCAUUAAUCAAGAACGAAAGUUAGGGGAUCGAAGACGAUCAGAUACCGUCGUAGUCUUAACCAUAAACUAUGCCGACUAGGAAUCGGGCGAUGUUGACAAAAUGACGCGCUCGGCACCUCAUG
RNAcentral lists this ribosomal RNA (520 nucleotides) under uncultured Paraglomus. RNAcentral describes it as "SSU rRNA". It matches the Rfam family "Eukaryotic small subunit ribosomal RNA", at positions 569 to 1092 of the family's 1831-position model. Lineage: Eukaryota; Fungi; Glomeromycota; Glomeromycetes; Paraglomerales; Paraglomeraceae. The record is from RNAcentral.